This is an RNA transcript of Oncorhynchus keta (chum salmon), 4012 nucleotides long. It is a transcript of the gene named alpha-N-acetylgalactosaminide alpha-2,6-sialyltransferase 6-like, with no coding region annotated. The record is from RefSeq and is a predicted model, not a curated record. NCBI's taxonomy places the organism in Eukaryota, Metazoa, Chordata, Actinopteri, Salmoniformes, Salmonidae. The transcript has 10 exons.
CAGUUUUCGUUUUGUGUUCAGUGCUUUCUUUAAUUAAAAUAUCAUGAACACAUACCGCGCUGCGUUUUGGUCCGAUACCUGCUACACCUCCUCUUUAGACGAAGAGGAGGAAAUCUACCGUGAUCGUGUUAAGCUCUACAAUACUUACCCAAGAAGACUCACAGCUGUAAUCAAAGUCAAAGGUGUUUCCAAGGGGUAUGACUACUUUUGCAAGGCACGGAUUGUUUUCCAACUGGUCUGACAAUGGGAAUGUUCUCAAAUAGGGGUGGUGACCAGAACAGCCCAGAACAUCACUGACAGGGGGGGUGAGCAGAACAGCCCAGAACAUGUGAUGUCACUCAGCCUGAUCUAGAAGCAUGGGGCUGAGGCUAGUUGACAAGCAAGGGCAGCAGAGCCAGAAGAUGGUGAUCUUCGGAGCCAUCUUCCUCCUUAUGACCCUCCUCAUCCUCUAUAGCUCCAACAGUGGCAAUGACAUCAGCCCCUUGUACAGUCCCUUCAGGGCGUCCACGCCUCAUCAUGCCAUCAAGGUCACCAACCUCAAGAAAUGGGCAGGGAAGGAGGGCUAUGUUGCUGUCUAUGGAAACAAGAAUAUGACCCUGCACUGCCACCACUGUGCUCUGGUGACCAGCUCCAGCCACGUACUGGGCAGCGGGGCCGGACCGGAAAUCGACCACACCCAGUGCGUGAUCCGCAUGAACGACGCCCCCACCACAGGGUUCGAGCGUGACGUGGGCAACCGGACCACUCUCAGAGUGGUGGCCCACUCCAGCGUGUUCAGGGUGGUCAGGCGGCCCACCGAGUUUCUCAACCACACGGACCAUAACUCUGCGGUCAUAUUCUGGGGACCGCCCACCAAGAUUGGGAGAGAGGCUAAAGGAACGCUGUACCGUCUGAUCCAGAGAGUGAGCAUGACCUACAGUAACCUGUCCAGCUUCACAAUCACGCCCAGCAAGAUGCAUAAGUUUGAUACACUCUUUCAGAAAGAGACUGGGCGAGACAGAGCGAAGUCUCAGUCCUGGUUGAGCACUGGCUGGUUCACCAUGGUGAUCGCCAUAGAGAUGUGUGACAAUAUUAAAGUGUACGGGAUGGUUCCACCCAGUCACUGUGGAAGCAUGGCGAAGACUUUUGGGUCGAAACGUUGCACUGUAAAACAGCGAGGGGAGCAUUCGACAGUGUGCGGAAAAAAGCCCCAGCCCAAGAAGAUGCCCUACCACUACUACAAGCCCAGGGGCUCAGAAGAGUGUGUCACCUACCUGCAGAACGAGAAGGGCCGAAAGGGGCCUCACCAUCGGUUCAUCACGGAGAAACAGGUGUUCGCACACUGGGCCAAGCAGUAUAAUAUCAGCUUCACUCGCCCCACAUGGUGAGAUGACUGGUUCCUCUCACAAAGGCUGGACAUCGAGAUCAAGAUGGCCUCCUGUGGAAAAACCACCGGGUGGAUAAAGACAGGUCAGGUUGAACUCCCAGCUGAUAUAAUGAAAGAUUACAGGCCCUGAGUUUUUCCUUACCAUGUAUAGAAACCAGUGGAGGCUGGUGACUUGAAAGAGUGAGGAGGAUGGAAGACCCACGUUAUAGGCUCGGACCGAACAACAAAGCGCAUUUGGAAAAUCAUCAAAGACCAAUUAUUUUAACCGAAAAUGUUUAUUAAAGACAUUUAUAGUAAAAUAUUAUGGGGAAUAGGAAUGAGAGCAUCUUACACUGUUGGGAAGGGCAGCAGUGAUUGUAUGAGGCAUGAGUAGGUGUUUGGAGGCUUGACUUCAGCGCAGGACAGGGUUGAGGUGUUCAGAGGCUUCAGUGCAGAAAAAAGUUGAUCAUGGAUGGAUGUUGUUGGAGAAGAGCCCAACUCCUCCGCUAAGGACAGGACAGGAUUUGACUGGGAGGACAAAAAAAAAACACAAUGAGUUAGUCCAAGCAAGGAGUAAAAUCACAUUGAUGUGUUAUCUGAUUGUGUUUGUCUAUGUGAUUGACUCUUCAUAGUAAUUGAAAGAAUGUAUAGGGGUACUCACAGUGCUUGGAGAGGAAACAUUCAAUGUGCCAGUGGAUGAAAUGGUUCUUCAGAGGAGCACAGGGCUGUCCUGUUUAAAAAAAUCAUUAUUAGGCAAGUCCGUUAACAACAAAUUCUUAUUUACAAUGACGGCCUACCAAAAGGCAAAAGGCCAGGGAAUAAAAUAAAAAAUAUAUAUAAAUAUAGGACAAAACCCACAUCACAACAAGAGAGACAACACUACAUAAAGAGAGACCUAAGACAACAACCUAGCAAGGCAGCAACACAUGGCAACACAACAUGUUAGCAGCCCAAAACAUGGUACAAACAUUAUUGGGCACAGACAACAGCACAAAGGACGAGAAGGUAGAGACAAUACAUCACACAAAGCAGUCACAAUGAGGUUUGAGAAGGAAGGGAAGUGAGACUACCACUUGCUGGAAAAUAUGUUGUGUUCAAUUAACUUUGGUAGGCCAGACCCAGCUGCUAUAGAGAGCAAUAGUAAUCGCAUCUUUUGUAGGCACACACUCCGCCGUGGUUCGUUGGACAAAUCCUAUGGGGAAAAAUUGUGUUUUUAGAUCAACACUGAAAACAAGGUCUGUGGUAAACGCAGGCUUGACCCUUGUUUUUCACAGAAUUUAAGUUAAAUUAAAAGCAAAUGCUAUAAUGGUCAUGUUAACUGAUCUCAGGAAAUGUAUAAUCUCCUAAAAGCCAAUUUAUGCUAGACCGAAAAUGUGGUCAGUGCCAUAUGGAUGGUGUAAAGCAGGCGAAGACCAGUACUAAACAGCAUGCAAUACUAACUGUACAAUGCGUUGGUUUUUUAGGCUCAAUCUGUGUCCGGGAAACUGGCCCCAAAAGAAAAGUCAUUUCAUCUCAGUAACCAUUAUUGUAUAAGUUACUUUUUGAGGUAGUGCAAUAAGAGCAAACGCUGAAUUACCUUGUAGUGGUCAGAGCCCUUCAGAGGGGCACAGGGCUGUCCUGUUCUUCAGAGGACAAGGGGCUUCAGUUCUUCAGAGGACACAGGGCUGUCCUGUUCUUCAGAGGACACAGGGCUGUCCUGUUCUUCAGAGGACACAGGGCUGUCCUGUUCUUCAGAGGGCAGAGGACAAGGGGCUUCAGUUCUUCAGAGGACACAGGGCUGUCCUGUUCUUCAGAGGGCAGAGGACAAGGGGCUUCAGUUCUUCAGAGGACACAGGGCUGUCCUGUUCUUCAGAGGGGCACAGGGCUGUCCUGUUCUUCAGAGGACACAGGGCUGUCCUGUUCUUCAGAGGACACAGGGCUGUCCUGUUCUUCAGAGGGCCAUGGGGGGGAGAGAGAGAAUACAGUAUUCGGCAUGUAUUAAAAACGAUGGUGAUGUUGGUUUACCAUAGAUCCUACCCCAGGCCUUUUUCUCUAAGGAGGGAAUUAAAGAAUAAUGACAGUAUUGUUCAAGAAAAACGUGUAAUAUGUAUGCAAUUCGGUACUAAAGAUUUUUAAAAUGUCAUUUACAUUGAAUGAAAUAUCCGGCUGUCUCUCUCUGUCUAUGUACCUCAAAAGGUUGCAGUGUGUGUGUGUGUGUGUGUGUCUGCGUGUGUGUGUCUGCUUAUGCGUGUGUCUACGUGCGUGGUUGAACCAAUGUUUUUUUCCUCAUCAAUUCAGGAGUAGGGGGCUAUAUGUACAUGAGGAUACCCAAAUAACAGUGUUUUUUCCCCCCUGAGCAUCUCACUGAAAUAUCUGGCUCUCUACCUCACUUGUGUGUCCCGGUGUCAGAUUACGAGCUGGGUUUACACACACAGAGAAUCUUGAAAAUAAUCAAAAAGCCUUCUUUUAUUUGAAUACAGUCUUUCCUACAACAGACAAUUAUAAAUAUAAACAUUUAAUGGGUUUUAAAGUGUAGUACUGUGUGGUAAUAAUAUAUGUUCUAUACAUUUUUGGGGGUAAAAAAACAUUCUGGCAUACUUAAAUAUUGCAUAGUAAAAUUGUUUAAAUAAUUAUAAUUAUAAUGUUUAAAAGGUCUGUACUAAAGAUUUAGAAUUAAAUAAAGCAUUU